GUCAGCACUGGUAUUCCCAGACCCCCUGAGGAUUCUGUGGCUAUAGUCACUUCUCAUCUCACAGCAUGAGAUUCUCAGCUCUCCUCUUCCUGGCAGCCCUAGCUGGAGUUCUGGUCUAUGCCGAAUUCCUGGCAAACAAAGAUCUCUUGGUAUCAGGACAUGGCUUAGAAGGAGCAAAAAAAACACUGCAUAAAAGAGUUGAGUUUGGAAGACGUCUUUAUGAGGGUGGAGCUGAAUGGGGACGAAAUCUGAGAAACUGGGGUGCAAAACUGAAUGUAGUUGGGGUCUGAGAAGUUGAAAAGAAUGGGAUCAAAGCCUUAACCAUGCUUGCAGCCCAGCAUGAUUAAACUGAAGCAUCUAACU
RNAcentral lists this long non-coding RNA (363 nucleotides) under Neogale vison (American mink). Its description in RNAcentral is "Neovison vison (American mink) lncRNA (ENSNVIG00000003025.1)". Lineage: Eukaryota; Metazoa; Chordata; Mammalia; Carnivora; Mustelidae. The record is from RNAcentral.